GUAUAUUUUCAUGCCUCUUUCCUCUCUGUGUACACAAAAAGAGGAUGCACAAGUCUUAUAGGAUGAAGGGGAGGACAAGGAGACUUGUGAAGGGGAAGGAAUCUCCCCUCGUUCCUGAACUGGGGCUCGGGGUGAUCUAGGUCGGGGGCUCUCUUGAUGUAAUCUCCAGAUUCCUGGGAAAGGAAAUCAGAAACAUUAGAAGAACGUGUGGAGAAUGCUGGAAGCCAAGGUUUGUCCUUCUUGGCUCUGAGGGAAUCUACUAAAAUGAUUCAAUACAACUGAAACUAGUCAAGUCUCCUAAAUAGCUGAAGAACUCAGACCACCUCGAGAAUCAGCGGCAGUGCCCAGUGCUCACACCACCACAGGCUGUUAAGGUUCAGAGGUCACCAGACCCACAGCAGGAUUCUCUGACCUCAGGGAUGACAUCAGAGCAUUCUGUGGACCCUGGGCCAACACAGUCUCUACAACUGCAGAGACUCCAUCUUCAAAAACAAUUCCUUUUUCCCAGUGGAAACUCUCCAAUGAAUCCAAUUUUCAUACCUUUCAAAUGUGGUAGGAUAUUUUGGCUGUGUUUCAUAGUACCAGUUAAAGAAGUCCCUUAGAAGAUCCUUAACAUAAUAAAUGUUUUAUUUAUUU
Long non-coding RNA from Choloepus didactylus (southern two-toed sloth), 636 nucleotides. RefSeq lists it as uncharacterized. The record is from RefSeq and is a predicted model, not a curated record. The transcript has 2 exons. NCBI's taxonomy places the organism in Eukaryota, Metazoa, Chordata, Mammalia, Pilosa, Megalonychidae.